RNAcentral lists this ribosomal RNA (253 nucleotides) under uncultured bacterium. Its description in RNAcentral is "partial 16S ribosomal RNA". It matches the Rfam family "Bacterial small subunit ribosomal RNA", at positions 524 to 776 of the family's 1533-position model. The record is from RNAcentral.
UACGAAGGGGGCUAGCGUUGCUCGGAAUCACUGGGCGUAAAGCGCACGUAGGCGGAUUGUUAAGUCAGGGGUGAAAUCCUGGAGCUCAACUCCAGAACUGCCUUUGAUACUGGCGAUCUUGAGUCCGGGAGAGGUGAGUGGAACUGCGAGUGUAGAGGUGAAAUUCGUAGAUAUUCGCAAGAACACCGGUGGCGAAGGCGGCCAACUGGACCAUUACUGACGCUGAGGCGCGAAAGCGUGGGGAGCAAACAGG